This 736-nucleotide ribosomal RNA is filed under the name uncultured Fusobacterium sp. RNAcentral's name for it is "bacterial SSU rRNA". It matches the Rfam family "Bacterial small subunit ribosomal RNA", at positions 28 to 776 of the family's 1533-position model. Lineage: Bacteria; Fusobacteriati; Fusobacteriota; Fusobacteriia; Fusobacteriales; Fusobacteriaceae. The record is from RNAcentral.
GAUGAACGCUGACAGAAUGCUAAACACAUGCAAGUCAACUUGAAUUUGGGUUUUUAACUUAGGUUAGGGUGGCGGACGGGUGAGUAACGCGUAAAGAACUUGCCUCACAGCUAGGGACAACAUUUGGAAACGAAUGCUAAUACCUAAUAUUAUGAUAAUAGGGCAUCCUAUAAAUUAUGAAAGCUAUAAGCGCUGUGAGAGAGCUCUGCGUCCCAUCAGCUAGUUGGAGAGGUAACUGCUCACCAAGGCGAUGAUGGGUAGCCGGCCUGAGAGGGUGAUCGGCCACAAGGGGACUGAGACACGGCCCUUACUCCUACGGGAGGCAGCAGUGGGGAAUAUUGGACAAUGGACCAAGAGUCUGAUCCAGCAAUUCUGUGUGCACGAUGAAGUUUUUCGGAAUGUAAAGUGCUUUCAGUUGGGAAGAAAGAAAUGACGGUACCAACAGAAGAAGUGACGGCUAAAUACGUGCCAGCAGCCGCGGUAAUACGUAUGUCACGAGCGUUAUCCGGAUUUAUUGGGCGUAAAGCGCGUCUAGGUGGUUAUAUAAGUCUGAUGUGAAAAUGCAGGGCUCAACUCUGUAUUGCGUUGGAAACUGUAUAACUAGAGUACUGGAGAGGUAAGCGGAACUACAAGUGUAGAGGUGAAAUUCGUAGAUAUUUGUAGGAAUGCCGAUGGGGAAGCCAGCUUACUGGACAGAUACUGACGCUGAAGCGCGAAAGCGUGGGUAGCAAACAGG